This 269-nucleotide ribosomal RNA is filed under the name uncultured bacterium. RNAcentral's name for it is "partial 16S ribosomal RNA". The record is from RNAcentral.
CUGCUGCCUUCCGUAGGAGUUUGGGCCGUGUCUCAGUCCCAAUGUGGCCGGUCACCCUCUCAGGUCGGCUACUGAUCGUCGCCUUGGUGGGCUGUUAUCUCACCAACUAGCUAAUCAGAUGCGGGCCCAUCUUUUACCGAAUAAAUCCUUUCUUUCUCAGAAGAUGCCUUCCAAGAACCGUAUGCGGUAUUAGUCACCGUUUCCAGUGAUUAUUCCCCAGUAAAAGGCAGGUUACCCACACGUUACUCACCCGUCCGCCGCUAAAAUAA